UAAGUAUUGGGCCACCGGUCAAACAGUGUGAAAAUAUAUAUCGGACGGGAGAUGGGGGUGCUUGUGGCGCAAGGUGAGAGUGCUCCGAGGAGCUGAGCCAGUUGUUUUGUUUGUUGCUCGCUCGGCUUGGCAGACAGAGA
Non-coding RNA from Caenorhabditis elegans, 140 nucleotides. NCBI's taxonomy places the organism in Eukaryota, Metazoa, Nematoda, Chromadorea, Rhabditida, Rhabditidae. The record is from Ensembl.